CAGAAUAGCCACCUGGCAGAAGACAGUGGAAAUGAGUAAAGGAGUCUAAGGAACCAAAAUGUUCAUACAAGAGGGGUUUUUCUGGAGUAUUCUGCCUUGGCUUAGAAGUUCCCCUUUGGUGAAGAAUUUUUUAAAAGUUUUUGAGUUCCCAUCAGCCAUUCAGAUAGACACACCAUGCAUGAACUACAGCAUCUGUGAGCAGUUCAAGGUGACACAAGAUCCAUUCAAGCCUUCCAACCCAGUCUGCUGGUGGUGGUGUCCCCAAAGCCACUGUCCUGCUGGCUAGUGCUGUGCAGCUACCUGAAUUCUGAAAUCCACCCUUCACAGUCUGGGGGCAAGGCCCAGCAGUGGCAGACAGCAAGAACUGCAAGGUGGCAAAGUUCCUUCUAAAUCCCCAGCUUCCCUGUACCUCUUGGGGAGCUUUAGGGUAGCAGUUUGCUUAGGUGAGAGCUUUGGAAGCACACAGAGCUGCUCCUCACCUCUGCCAGCCGGUCAGCGCGAUACCUUCGAGGACAUCAGCAGGGCUCCUGCUGGCCACCUGCAGCCACUCCAGCUGGUUCCUGAGGUGGUGCCCGAUCAGUGUCAGAGACUGAUUCACCCCCGUGGCUCCCUUGAAGGCACUUGCAAACCACACCUUGGAGAAGCCACACCUGCGGUACUUCUCUAUGAGCUGCACUGCGGGGAGACACAAAGGGACACGCACAGGAUGAGCUUUCUCCAGUUUCAGCCCACGCUGCAAUGCUGCAGUGAGGGGAACACAGCUCCAGAUCCAACAGGCUGCUGAGCCUUUUCAGGCUUGGAGCAUCAGCAAGGAGGGGGCAUUUGACACCCUCUCUGAGCAGCCUUUGAAGUGGCUGUCCUGCUAUUUUCAUAUGUCAGUUACUGUACUCCACUCCCUUGUAUUGCUACCAUGCUAAAAGCUGUGAGAUUGUAACAAGCAUGCACAACAUCUGACAGCUGAUUGUUCUGGCAACAAAGAAAUAUUUGCAUGAAUGUUAGAUGCCUGACAGGAGCCUUUAGGAGCUUCCCUCUGAAUUCUAUAGAUGUAUGGAGCACUGCAGCUUCUUUUGCAGAGCUGUUCAAUACAGUUAUGUGUUGCUACUGCUGUUAAUGCAAGGAGAAUUAAUAUAACAGUGCUUGUGGGAAACCUCUGAAUCUCCUAUCAGUGAUUCCAUAGCUCUGCUAAAAAUGAAUUAAGCAGCCUACAAUGCAAGUCAUUCAUAGGGGAAACAUAAAUAGAAAAAGAAAAUAAGUAACAGCAGUUAUGAUGUGAAAUCAAAUAAGGGCUGUCUUUAUGCUAUUAAGGCAAUAAAAAACAAUUCAA
This is a non-coding RNA of Taeniopygia guttata (zebra finch), 1324 nucleotides long. The record is from RefSeq and is a predicted model, not a curated record. NCBI's taxonomy places the organism in Eukaryota, Metazoa, Chordata, Aves, Passeriformes, Estrildidae.